UACGGAGGGUGCAAGCGUUAUCCGGAUUCACUGGGUUUAAAGGGAGCGCAGGCGGAUUUGUAAGUCGGUGGUGAAAGGCUUAAGCUUAACUUGGGAACUGCCAUUGAUACUAUAAGUCUUGAAUGUUGUUGAGGUUUGCGGAAUGGGUCAUGUAGCGGUGAAAUGCAUAGAUAUGACCCGGAACACCUAUUGCGAAGGCAGCAGGCUAAACAAAUAUUGACGCUGAGGCUCGAAAGCGUGGGGAUCAAACAGG
This 253-nucleotide ribosomal RNA is filed under the name uncultured bacterium. RNAcentral's name for it is "partial 16S ribosomal RNA". It matches the Rfam family "Bacterial small subunit ribosomal RNA", at positions 524 to 776 of the family's 1533-position model. The record is from RNAcentral.